Long non-coding RNA from Folsomia candida, 398 nucleotides. RefSeq lists it as uncharacterized. The record is from RefSeq and is a predicted model, not a curated record. The transcript is spliced from 3 exons. Lineage: Eukaryota; Metazoa; Arthropoda; Collembola; Entomobryomorpha; Isotomidae.
CAGUAUUACUGGGAAAACGUUCUCAUGUCAUCAGCAGCAGCAGCAGUAGCUCGGAAGAAGAGAGAGAUGAAGUUAUUGAUGAUAACAAUCUGGUUGCCAAAACUGGAGCAAAACGGCUUUCAAGACCGGCUCGAGAUCAGAGAGGUCAACAACAAAGGACCCGGAGUCCACCCCCAACUCGUGCGCCAGGUCCAUCUGGGGUGAUUACUGUAGCAAGAGGGAGUGGACAAGCCGUGACGAUUCGUGUUGUCAGACAGUAUAGAAGAGUCAACAGUAAGAGGUCAACGUUGCCGGACAAAUUCUGGUGCAAAUAUUGUGGCGCUGGUUUUCCGAGAAUAUACGCACGGAACAGGCAUGUAAAGAUACAUGAGGGGAAGUUCAAAGGAAAAUCGUAAGUC